This is a long non-coding RNA of Gallus gallus (chicken), 1874 nucleotides long. RefSeq lists it as uncharacterized. The record is from RefSeq and is a predicted model, not a curated record. Lineage: Eukaryota; Metazoa; Chordata; Aves; Galliformes; Phasianidae. The transcript has 2 exons.
UUGGAAGGGAUCCUGCACACCUGAUCUAGUGGUUAGCAAUCCUGCCGGGAGGGCUGCAAAGAUCAUGUGAUCUUUAAGGUCCUCUCCAACCUAAGCCAUUCUACAAUUCUAUGAAUGUAGAAAAUCUGACAUCUGAAAAACUGACAUUUUUGUGUCAAUUUUGUCAGCAAAUUUAUAAAAUUGCCAACUCAGGGGACUUUGGCAGAAAUCAGGCUGCAUGAAAACAGACUAGAUUUCUCUAAUGGUGAGGAAAGUAACUACAUAGUCACAACUUAGAUGAACUGAAUCCAAAAGAACUUUAUGUUGAAAUAUUUUAGUUCUAUAAAAGAAGAAAUGUAUAAGGUAUUAAUCACAACGGCUGUAAAAAACAGGAAGAAGCGUACCUUGCUCCUAGAAGUCCUGCCAGAUAAACCAGGGAGUCUCUCUCUGCACCAGUAAAUUGGCUAAAAGAAAGAACACAGUCCACCAAAGGAGUAACUCCUUCCAUUACUGGGACUGGUGUGAAAAGUGGAUUGGACUGGGGAUCUAAGAGGAGCUGCUGUUCCACACACGUUACCUUAAAAAAAAAGAUGAUAUAGAUAAAAACACAAAUCAAGCCAAACUGCACCAGAAAACUGCAAUAACUCAGUAACUGUACAACAUCAUUUAUGGACUUGAUAACACGGAAUUCAGUUUCUGUAACUGCAUUUGAUAAAGUUUUUUCACAUGCAAUUAGACAAAUUCUUUUCUAGAUAACAUUAGCCUUGUCAGGUUUGACUGACUUGGGCAUUUUUCAGAACUUUCCCAUUACUACUCUUCCAACCCUGGAGGCUCCCUUGAAGUAGCUCAAGGCACGAUCUGACAGCCUGUAUAGUUUCACUUCACAGAAAUUUAUCUAAUACUGAAAAGUACUAACAGCACUUAAUCUAUGUCAUGUGCCUCCUCUUAGUAAACAAUUUCUUUUUUACUUCAAGCUGACUCACCCUCUGCCACAAGACAGAAAGCUGUAGUAAGAACAUAGCAAGAAACAGAAAGCCACCAGCAACUCUGCAUUCUAGCAAGACGUACUUAUAAUAGAUAUGUUUACUCAUUGGACUGAAAAUAUAACUCCCUUACCAGCCAUGUAUUCGUGACAACAUCACCAACAGUUGACUCCACAGAGCACCCCAAUAAAGGUACCACAGCAUAGUCUGCAAUGAUUCUGCUUUGCAGCGGCACAGUUUUCCCAGCAUGCUCCUUAAUCAGAUCUGCAAUGCAGGACUCAUCUUCUUCUCCAAAACCCAAAAGAAGAAAUCUCUUCCUGGCAAAUAAACCUUCAUCCAGUGCAGAAGGCUCUCCCAAAGAACCAUUACAGACAGAAGAAUGAUUCUCUUCUUGAACAGUCACAUGAGUAACAUCAUUGAAGCUACCAGAUGCUAGUUUCUCAGCUUCAACUAGAAGGAAGAAAAAAAAAAGAGUAGUAGUUUGACAAGAACAAAGACAACUCAAAAUAGCUUCAUGGAGAACGACUCCUAAAAAUACAAUACUGAAGUUAAAAUACUCAAUUUUUAAUGACUAAAUGCUUGAAAACUCAAAUUCUACAAGACCUGUUCAACUGUCUACGGCCUUGAACCUACCUAAUGUAGAAUCAUUACUGACAUACUGAGAGAGGAAGUCGUCUUCUGCAGCUUUCUGGAGCUUCACAACAUUCACAGCUUUCUUCUUUGACAUGCUGUUGUUUUUGGGAAGAACUAACUUUGCAUCGGGUUGUUCCAAAAUUGUAUUCGCUAACAGCUGGUAGUUUUGAGGGAUAUACUGCUCCACUGGACAGAGAUAGCCUUUAUUAAAUGACUCCAGUAGCCAUUUUGCUGUCACUAUAUGAGGCCUAUAAAAUAAAGUGUUACACAAACAAGUUA